AUUGAACGCUGGCGGCAUGCCUUACACAUGCAAAUCGAACGGUAACGGGCCUUCGGGUGCCGACGAGUGGCGAACGGGUGAGUAAUACAUCGGAACGUGCCCGAUCGUGGGGGAUAACGAGGCGAAAGCUUUGCUAAUACCGCAUACGAUCUACGGAUGAAAGCCAGGGACCGCAAGGCCUUGCGCGGACGGAGCGGCCGAUGGCAGAUCAGGUAGUUGGUGGGAUAAAAGCUUACCAAGCCGACGAUCUGUAGCUGGUCUGAGAGGAUGAUCCGCCACACUGGGACUGAGACACGGCCCAGACUCCUACGGGAGGCAGCAGUGGGGAAUUUUGGACAAUGGGCGCAAGCCUGAUCCAGCCAUGCCGCGUGCAGGAUGAAGGCCUUCGGGUUGUAAACUGAUUUUGUACGGAACGAAAAGCCUUCUUUUAAUACAGGAGGGUCAUGACGGUACCGUAAGAAUAAGCACCGGCUAACUACGUG
This 482-nucleotide ribosomal RNA is filed under the name uncultured bacterium. RNAcentral describes it as "partial 16S ribosomal RNA". It matches the Rfam family "Bacterial small subunit ribosomal RNA", at positions 30 to 507 of the family's 1533-position model. The record is from RNAcentral.